GUGCCAGCAGCCGCGGUAAUACGUAGGGUACAAGCGUUGUCCGGAAUUAUUGGGCGUAAAGAGCUCGUAGGUGGUUGGUCACGUCUGCUGUGGAAACGCAACGCUUAACGUUGCGCGUGCAGUGGGUACGGGCUGACUAGAGUGCAGUAGGGGAGUCUGGAAUUCCUGGUGUAGCGGUGAAAUGCGCAGAUAUCAGGAGGAACACCGGUGGCGAAGGCGGGACUCUGGGCUGUAACUGACACUGAGGAGCGAAAGCAUGGGGAGCGAACAGGAUUAGAUACCCUGGUAGUCC
RNAcentral lists this ribosomal RNA (292 nucleotides) under uncultured microorganism. RNAcentral's name for it is "partial 16S ribosomal RNA". It matches the Rfam family "Bacterial small subunit ribosomal RNA", at positions 505 to 796 of the family's 1533-position model. The record is from RNAcentral.